Long non-coding RNA from Cavia porcellus (domestic guinea pig), 5214 nucleotides. RefSeq lists it as uncharacterized. The transcript is spliced from 5 exons. Lineage: Eukaryota; Metazoa; Chordata; Mammalia; Rodentia; Caviidae. The record is from RefSeq and is a predicted model, not a curated record.
AGCAUGGAGGAUUAUUGAAAUGGUUUACUAACAUCGAAAUAUGUUGUGCAAUGCCUGAUUACUUCUUUCUAUUGGAUGUUCAUGGGAACUGGAGUUUGAUGUGAAACCAGAAGUGUCUUCUACCAGACAAAGCCAUUGCUGUCUCGUAGUCAUACUGGUACUGUUAUUCCAAGCACAAAGUUGGAAGUUGAAGGGGAAUAAAAUCAAAAUAGAAUCUGUAUCUCUGAAAAUAUGAACAACAUGUUCACUCAUCAGUCCCACAAGACCAGGGCUCCAGCUUGAAGAAGCUUGGAAGAAGCUUCCAGCUGGAAGCUUGAAGAAUAAAAAUUAAGACAAGUGCCACCAGGAAACAAAAGAAAUACUGAACGCAGAUAUUCACCUGGUCCUUUAAGUCUGGAGGGUGCUGUGUUUGUAUGAAUGAGGAAGACAAGGGACACAGGAAAUAGUGACCUCCCUGCCUCUCCUGGGGUAGGACUGCAGACAGCCAAGAGCCACCUGGGUCCUUCUCUAUCACCGCGCAGCCCCAUCUGCCACACUAAGCCCAGCCCAUCGCCGUCUCCCACGAGUCUCCUGAGUCUUCAUUUAGAACACUGAAGAGGAACUGGCUCUUUUCAGUAGCAGAAUGCUCAGGCAAACACCUCGGUCAUCCUGGACUGUUCUUUUUCUGUUAUGGUCCAGAUCUAAUCCACCAGGAAAUCCCAUAUGCUGUACUUCAAAAAUUAUUUCCAAAAAUUGGCCACAUGUCCCCAUCUCCACAGCUAAUUCCCUACUUACCGCUCCCCUCGCUUUGUCCUGUUGUCUUCAGAAGCAUCCUGAAUGGGCUUCCUGCUUUUGCUCCUGAUUUACCUGGUUUCACCCCACUCCGUUCCCCAGCUGCGUGGUCCUUCCAGAGUAGCCAGAAUGGGACUGCUCUUGAUAGAACAGUCAGAUUCUCCUCGUCUCCAUUGCGAACCGCUAGUGGCUUCCCAUCUCGUGUGGAGGAGGCCAGGACCGUCCACCUACCUCACCCUCCGGUCUCACCCUCUGCCCCCAAAGCCCUGGCUGUUCACUCACACUUCUGCUGGAUCCCUUGCUCCUGGAUCCCCAAGUGGCCUUUAUCAUCAUCACACUUUGCUCCUUCUCACCUUCCUCCUAAAGGUCACUCUGAUUAUCCUGUGUAAAACUGCAACCCCCAACCUCCCGGUUCUCACGAUUGCCUGAACCCACCCUGCUUUUCCUAGAGCGCUCACCACUUUUAAACUUACUAACAUAUUUAUCGUACUGACUCAUUACUGUUUAAAUUUAUUUUCCGAUUUCUUUAUGAAUCUGUAUGAUUUGUGAGGGCUGCAAUCUGCCUGCCUUAUUUAUGUUGCAGACCAAGAAUUGAAGAUGUUGUCUGUUACACAGGAAGUGCUCAAGAAAUAUUUGUUGAAUGAAUGAAUGAAUGAACAAGUUAGUAAGAAGUCCGCUAAAAGCCAUCCUAAAUAGGCUCAAGACUGAGCCACGCCAGAAUUCUAUCAUAUGGUUCCCUGACCGGGAACAGCAGAAGAGAGACUGCCAGUGAGUCCCCUGCCAUUCGCAGACUGGACUGCGUACUGGAUUAAUUCCUCACUUCUCAACACUUGGGAGCUGAUAAACUUGUCACUGCUGGUUUGCAAACAACACCGGUCUAAUUCAUUUACUACAGAAAUAGCAGUGACACUUGGAGUUCUGAGACAGGUAAACCGGCACAAGGUGGAGCUGCCUGGGCCCCCCGUGGACCAUGCCUCAAAUGCAGCUGAAGACAUUGGGCAAGAGAGUGCCCCAUCCUGGCGUUCCUUUGGGACCUUACACCAGGGCUACUGGACUGUCCUAGCCACCAGAGAGUGGGUAAGCCGUCCUAACUUCUAGCCCUCACAGGAAAUGCCAACACUGCCAGAUUCAUCGCUGACAGAUCUGCUUAAACUUGUUGCUGAAGACUGAUUGGGCUCAGGGCCAACAAUAGCCCCCGUUAAGGUGUCUGUCUCAGAGUUCAAGUCCCACUAAAAGUCUCAGUCUAACAUAUGUGCAUUCACCAGUGAUAAAGUUGUCCUGGCUAAAACACCUGGCACCAGCUUCUGCAUGGGCAUCAACCAUCAUCCCGUCGACUCUCCUAAACCCCAGUACAGCGCCCCCUUCCAGCAGGAAGCAGAAAAGAAAGAAAUCUCCGCCCUUUUUCCUAAUAAUCAAAAGAUGGGACUGAAAGGAUUUUGGCCCAGAUGGGACACUGUAGCCAGUAAAGCCUUGGAGGCAGAACCAAGGAGCUCUAUCUUCCCCACCUCCAGGAAUUUGCCUGUGACUCCAUAUUCCCUGCCCCUAUGAAUUUACCUAUGGCACAAAAUGAAUAGCAGUGGGCUACCUGAGCAUCACUAAUGCCCCUCAGGCACCACCCCAAACCUAAGGUGCAUGUAUAUCUCCAUUUCACGUGUCGGAUGGAGAGAUUGCCAGACACCUGAGAGAAUGCCAGACCCCAGUGGGUCGGGGGUCUCUCCCCACAUUCUUAAAUAAAGGUCAUUUAUAUUUCAUACUUAUCUUUUCAGCUGUGUCAGAAUUCUAUCAGUAGGCAAGUAACAUGUCUGUUGGUUAGUCCCCCAGGUAAGAGAAUUGUGAAGCCUGUGGCUAACUAAAAUGUGCACUUCAUACAAUUCAAAUUUUAUAAAUAACACGGAGCCUUACAAACCUGUAUGAGUUUAAAUUUGACUUUGGCCUAUAAAUCUUAGCUCCCUGAGAUAUGCAGAACAUGUUACUCUCCAGCCAUAAUUCAAUGAGUCUAAACAGGGCAACAGGUUUACUUUUCAUGCCGAGAGUAGAAACCUACUAACGUAGUGUGGUUGGAGGAGCUUCUCUGCCAGAUAUAGUACCUUCCUUUUUGGAAUCAAGGAGGUUAUAACCUAAUCAGGAAGGGUUUGGAAGGCGUAGGUUUAGUUAGUGAGUUUUAAGGGUUUUUAGUUUUUCAUGAAGAUGCACAUAUACUAUCCACAAUAGAAAACCUAUUGAUUCUCCUUUAGGUAUUAAUACCAAAGCUCUUUAAAACAAUUUUCAAAAACUUCUGUAAAGUGUAAUUAUAUGCCCCUUAGUUUUAAUGUUGAUAUUUGACCUCUGUAUAUUAGGCACCUUUUGAGACAAUGAAUUAAAUAGUGAAGAUAAAUUUGUCAUAGGCCUUAUUUCCAAGGCACUUACAAUGUAGAGGGCAAAUGGAAGGACCAAAGUUAUGCUUUCUUGUUCUGCAACUGCACCCAAGUGCCCAGACAUAGUGGAAAGUUAAUACACGGAUGGAGACUGAUAUUGCCCCAACAAUCUGCAAUGCACAAGUGCUGGAAGUGAGGCAUAGUAGGCACUGUGAGUUAGCAGAUGAGCUCUAGAAAAGAGAAGAGACAGGAGAGAUGGACAGAAGAAGGGACAGGAGGGACUGGGGUGUGAUGGACAAAGAAGGGGUCGUGCUUGACUCCUCCUCUAAGCCAAGCAGGUGCUUGAAGCUUGGCUGGUGGAGUCCUGGGACAGGGGAGCUCUGAAAGGGGUGGAACUGGGGGAACCAGAUGGAGCAAAAGAGGUAGCAGGAUAUCUCUGAGUGUCCUGUGUGCUGGUGGUAUGUCAGCUGGGUGAGAAGCUCAGCCUGGUGGCUUUCUGGCUGGCUUUCAGCAGGCUCCUGGCUUGGGAGAUUUCCCACAGGAUGUUCCAAGCAAAAUGGGGCUCUGUGAUGCCUGCAGCCAGCCUCAUGGGAACCUUCCUCAGGUGUGAGUCCCAGGCAUUUUUGUAAGCCCAGCAAUCUCCUCCUUUCCUGACACCUGCCGAAGUGAGUUAUCUCUUAAUCCUCUUCCAAAUUUAAAUGAUAAUUUUAGCAACUGCAGGGUUUUCUGUUGGCAAUUUGCUGCUGAUAACCGAACUGUUAAUUGCAGCUCUUAUCAGUGCCCGUUAGAACAAGCUGGUUUGAAGUGCAAACAAUGCUUUCAAGUGUGGCUUAAAUUCUUGCUCAGACUUGCCUUAUUUCCGGAUCAGAAUGUCCUGCUAUUGCCUGAAGGUUAGGAACUGAACGUGACUCAUGCUUGUGGGCAGCAUUAUUGUUUUUUCCAGGUCUUCACAGCCUCACUGCCCACCGGGCUACUACUCAAUACAAAAGGCCAGAGAGUUCACACCUUCCAAACGUGCCUAAUGUUUUUAUGCUUGAAACUACUGACACUUCUGCCUCUUUAGUAUCUGACUUUAUUUGCUCAUCUGAAAAUUGGGGAUGACCAUAUCUGACUUAUGAUUGCUGAGAGGAAAUGAGCUGUGGUUGAAAGAAUAUGAGUUCCAUAUUGUUUUGAUCAAUUCUAUUAUACCUGAUGAUAUAGACAACUCAAUUUGAAAAUAGCAAGAGGCACAAUGGUAACCACUUUUGAUCACCUGCUAUUCUAUUUUUGCAUCACGUGCUAUGCCCACCCUUCUGUUCUGACUCUGUGUUGCUUAGUCACAUUUGUUUUUUUUCUCUUCAAAAAAGUAAUAAGAACCAUGAGAGUAAUAAAACCCCAAAAGUCUAAUUGUUACUGUAAAAAAGAGAGGAAAGUAAGAUGGACUAAGGAAUAUGACCGCAGGUAUGUUCGAGAGUGUAGGACGGAAAACCAUAUAACUGAGCUUUUGUUGGAUCAUUGAACGGAACUGUCUCCAAUUCCACUGUAUGAAUGUUUACUUUAUAUGCUUUAAUUUAGUGAUAUGGACAACUGUUUCUGGGAAGAUAAUGUGUAGCCUGUUAACUGGUGAUUUCGUACUGUAUAUAUUUUUUUCUAGAAAUACUGUAUUAUUUGUACCCUUUUACUGUAUUUUUUUUUAUGUCCUUUCUUUUUUUUUUUCUUCUCUCUUUAAAUAAAAAAAAGUGAGGGAAAGAAAGUGCUCUAAAGGAUACAAUUGCAAGUGUGUUUAGGUGUGUUAAAUAGAUGACCAUAUUAAUGUUUUUGAUUGGAUCACUGAACACAACUGUUUGCAGUCUCUCUGUUUGAAUGUCCACUUUGUAUGCUUUAAUCCUGUGACUUGAACAACUAUCUCUAAGAUGAUAAUGUGUAACCUAUUAAAUGGGAUUUCUUACUGUUUUUUUUUGUAGUUCUGUAUUACUUGUACCCUUAUACUGUUUUGCUUUGUUUUGUUUUAUUUCUCUUUUUCCUUUUAAAUAAAAUUUUAAAAAAAGAAAGAAUAUGAGUUUUGGGAUCAGAUGACAAUUUUUUUUUUCCUUUUGCAUUUACUACGUCA